AAUACUUUUGUCCCAUUUCUAGAGAAAACAGCAUCUGAGAAACGUUGUCUGUUCACUUCACUGAGUAAUUACAGGAGCCAUCUCCUCAGCUCCCAGUGGCUGGUUCUCCUCCUCCCAGUGGCUGGUUCUCCUCAGCUCCCAGUGGCUGGUUCUCCUCAGCUCCCAGUGGCUGGUUCUCCUCCUCCCAGUGGCUGGUUUUCCUCCUCCCAGUGGCUGCUUCUCCUCCUCCCAGUGGCUGGUUCUCCUCAGCUCCCAGUGGCUGGUUCUCCUCCUCUCAGUGGCUGGUUCUCCUCAGCUCCCAGUGGCUGGUUCUCCUCAGCUCCCAGUGGCUGGUUCUCCUCCUCCCAGUGGCUGGUUCUCCUCAGCUCCCAGUGGCUGGUUCUCCUCCUCCCAGUGGCUGCUUCUCCUCCUCCCAGUGGCUGGUUCUCCUUAGCUCCCAGUGGCUGGUUCUCCUCCUCCCAGUGGCUGGUUUUCCUCCUCCCAGUGGCUGCUUCUCCUCAGCUCCCAGUGGCUGGUUCUCCUCCUCCCAGUGGCUGCUUCUCCUCCUCCCAGUGGCUGGUUCUCCUCCUCCCAGUGGCUGGCUCUCCUCAGCUCCCAGUGGCUGGUUCUCCUCCUCCCAGUGGCUGCUUCUCCUCAGCUCCCAGUGGCUGGUUUUCCUCCUCCCAGUGGCUGCUUCUCCUCCUCCCAGUGGCUGGUUCUCCUCAGCUCCCAGUGGCUGGUUCUCCUCCUCUCAGUGGCUGGUUCUCCUCAGCUCCCAGUGGCUGGUUCUCCUCAGCUCCCAGUGGCUGGUUCUCCUCCUCCCAGUGGCUGGUUCUCCUCAGCUCCCAGUGGCUGGUUCUCCUCCUCCCAGUGGCUGCUUCUCCUCCUCCCAGUGGCUGGUUCUCCUUAGCUCCCAGUGGCUGGUUCUCCUCCUCCCAGUGGCUGGUUUUCCUCCUCCCAGUGGCUGCUUCUCCUCAGCUCCCAGUGGCUGGUUCUCCUCCUCCCAGUGGCUGCUUCUCCUCAGCUCCCAGUGGCUGGUUCUCCUCCUCCCAGUGGCUGGCUCUCCUCAGCUCCCAGUGGCUGGUUCUCCUCCUCCCAGUGGCUGCUUCUCCUCAGCUCCUAGUGGCUGGUUCUCCUCUUCCCAGUGGCUGCUUCUCCUCCUCCCAGUGGCUGGUUCACCUCCUCCCAGUGGCUGGCUCUCCUCAGCUCCCAGUGGCUGGUUCUCCUCAGCUCCCAGUGGCUGCUUCUCCUCAGCUCCCAGUGGCUGGUUCUCCUCCUCCCAGUGGCUGCUUCUCCUCCUCCCAGUGGCUGGUUCUCCUCCUCCCAGUGGCUGGCUCUCCUCAGCUCCCAGUGGCUGGUUCUCCUCCUCCCAGUGGCUGCUUCUCCUCAGCUCCUAGUGGCUGGUUCUCCUCUUCCCAGUGGCUGCUUCUCCUCCUCCCAGUGGCUGGUUUUCCUCAGCUCCCAGUGGCUGGCUCUCCUCAGCUCCCAGUGGCUGGUUCUCCUCCUCCCAGUGGCUGCUUCUCCUCCUCCCAGUGGCUGGUUCUCCUCCUCCCAGUGGCUGGUUCUCCUCAGCUCCCCGUGCCUGGUUCUCCUCCUCCCAGUGGCUGGUUCUCCUCAGCUCCCAGUGGCUGCUUCUCCUCCUCCCAGUGGCUGGUUCUCCUUAGCUCCCAGUGGCUGGUUCUCCUCCUCCCAGUGGCUGGUUCUCCUCAGCUCCCAGUGGCUGGUUCUCCUCAGCUCCCAGUGGCUGGUUCUCCUCCUCCCAGUGGCUGGUUCUCCUUAGCUCCCAGUGGCUGGUUCUCCUCCUCCCAGUGGCUGGUUCACCUCCUCCCAGUGGCUGGUUCUCCUACUUCCAGUGGCUGGUUCUCCUCCUCCCAGUGGCUGGUUCUCCUCCUCGUGCUCCCAUUCACAUUUUAUCUUAACAUCACUUAA
Long non-coding RNA from Betta splendens (Siamese fighting fish), 1908 nucleotides. The record is from Ensembl. Lineage: Eukaryota; Metazoa; Chordata; Actinopteri; Anabantiformes; Osphronemidae.